RNAcentral lists this ribosomal RNA (2158 nucleotides) under Yersinia ruckeri ATCC 29473. Its description in RNAcentral is "bacterial LSU rRNA". It matches the Rfam family "Bacterial large subunit ribosomal RNA", at positions 1 to 2183 of the family's 2925-position model. Lineage: Bacteria; Pseudomonadati; Pseudomonadota; Gammaproteobacteria; Enterobacterales; Yersiniaceae. The record is from RNAcentral.
UUAAGCGACUAAGCGUACACGGUGGAUGCCUAGGCAGUCAGAGGCGAUGAAGGGCGUGCUAAUCUGCGAAAAGCGUCGGUAAGCUGAUAUGAAGCGUAAUAACCGACGAUACCCGAAUGGGGAAACCCAGUGCAAUUCGUUGCACUAUUGCAUGGUGAAUACAUAGCCAUGCAAGGCGAACCGGGGGAACUGAAACAUCUAAGUACCCCGAGGAAAAGAAAUCAACCGAGAUUCCCCCAGUAGCGGCGAGCGAACGGGGAAGAGCCCAGAGUCUGAAUCAGUUGGUGUGUUAGUGGAAGCGUCUGGAAAGUCGCACGGUACAGGGUGAUAGUCCCGUACACAAAAACACACUGGCUGUGAACUCGAUGAGUAGGGCGGGACACGUGACAUCCUGUCUGAAUAUGGGGGGACCAUCCUCCAAGGCUAAAUACUCCUGACUGACCGAUAGUGAACCAGUACCGUGAGGGAAAGGCGAAAAGAACCCCGGCGAGGGGAGUGAAAUAGAACCUGAAACCGUGUACGUACAAGCAGUGGGAGCACCUUCGUGGUGUGACUGCGUACCUUUUGUAUAAUGGGUCAGCGACUUAUAUUUUGUAGCAAGGUUAACCGAAUAGGGGAGCCGUAGGGAAACCGAGUCUUAACUGGGCGUCUAGUUGCAAGGUAUAGACCCGAAACCCGGUGAUCUAGCCAUGGGCAGGUUGAAGGUUGGGUAACACUAACUGGAGGACCGAACCGACUAAUGUUGAAAAAUUAGCGGAUGACUUGUGGCUGGGGGUGAAAGGCCAAUCAAACCGGGAGAUAGCUGGUUCUCCCCGAAAGCUAUUUAGGUAGCGCCUCGUGAACUCAUCUUCGGGGGUAGAGCACUGUUUCGGCUAGGGGUCCAUCCCGGAUUACCAAACCGAUGCAAACUCCGAAUACCGAAGAAUGUUAUCACGGGAGACACACGGCGGGUGCUAACGUCCGUCGUGAAGAGGGAAACAACCCAGACCGCCAGCUAAGGUCCCAAAGUCAUGGUUAAGUGGGAAACGAUGUGGGAAGGCAUAGACAGCCAGGAUGUUGGCUUAGAAGCAGCCAUCAUUUAAAGAAAGCGUAAUAGCUCACUGGUCGAGUCGGCCUGCGCGGAAGAUGUAACGGGGCUAAACCAUGCACCGAAGCUGCGGCAGCGACGCUUAGGCGUUGUUGGGUAGGGGAGCGUUCUGUAAGCCGUUGAAGGUGGCCUGUGAGGGCUGCUGGAGGUAUCAGAAGUGCGAAUGCUGACAUAAGUAACGAUAAUGCGGGUGAAAAACCCGCACGCCGGAAGACCAAGGGUUCCUGUCCAACGUUAAUCGGGGCAGGGUGAGUCGACCCCUAAGGCGAGGCUGAAAAGCGUAGUCGAUGGGAAACAGGUUAAUAUUCCUGUACUGGGUGUGACUGCGAAGGGGGGACGGAGAAGGCUAGGCUAGCCGGGCGACGGUUGUCCCGGUUUAAGCAUGUAGGCGGAGUGACUUGGUAAAUCCGGUUGCUUAUCAACGCUGAGGUGUGAUGACGAGCCACUACGGUGGUGAAGUAGUUGAUGCCAAGCUUCCAGGAAAAGCCUCUAAGCAUCAGGUGACAUUCAAUCGUACCCCAAACCGACACAGGUGGUCAGGUAGAGAAUACUCAGGCGCUUGAGAGAACUCGGGUGAAGGAACUAGGCAAAAUGGUGCCGUAACUUCGGGAGAAGGCACGCUGGCAUUAGGUAAAGAGACUUGCUCUCGGCGCCGAAGCCAGUCGCAGAUACCAGCUGGCUGCAACUGUUUAAUAAAAACACAGCACUGUGCAAACACGAAAGUGGACGUAUACGGUGUGACGCCUGCCCGGUGCUGGAAGGUUAAUUGAUGGGGUCAGCCGCAAGGCGAAGCUCUUGAUCGAAGCCCCAGUAAACGGCGGCCGUAACUAUAACGGUCCUAAGGUAGCGAAAUUCCUUGUCGGGUAAGUUCCGACCUGCACGAAUGGCGUAAUGAUGGCCAGGCUGUCUCCACCCGAGACUCAGUGAAAUUGAACUCGCUGUGAAGAUGCAGUGUACCCGCGGCAAGACGGAAAGACCCCGUGAACCUUUACUAUAGCUUGACACUGAAUAUUGAGCCUUGAUGUGUAGGAUAGGUGGGAGGCAUCGAAGCGUGGACGCCAGUCUACGUGG